AAUCGUACCCCAAACCGACACAGGUGGUCAGGUAGAGAAUACCAAGGCGCUUGAGAGAACUCGGGUGAAGGAACUAGGCAAAAUGGUGCCGUAACUUCGGGAGAAGGCACGCUGAUGGUAGGUGAAGUGACUUGCUCAUGGAGCUGAAAUCAGUCGAAGAUACCAGCUGGCUGCAACUGUUUAUUAAAAACACAGCACUGUGCAAACACGAAAGUGGACGUAUACGGUGUGACGCCUGCCCGGUGCCGGAAGGUUAAUUGAUGGGGUUAUCCUCACGGAGAAGCUCUUGAUCGAAGCCCCGGUAAACGGCGGCCGUAACUAUAACGGUCCUAAGGUAGCGAAAUUCCUUGUCGGGUAAGUUCCGACCUGCACGAAUGGCGUAAUGAUGGCCAGGCUGUCUCCACCCGAGACUCAGUGAAAUUGAACUCGCUGUGAAGAUGCAGUGUACCCGCGGCAAGACGGAAAGACCCCGUGAACCUUUACUAUAGCUUGACACUGAACACUGGUCCUUGAUGUGUAGGAUAGGUGGGAGGCUUUGAAGUGUGGACGCCAGUCUGCAUGGAGCCGUCCUUGAAAUACCACCCUUUAAUGGCUGGUGUUCUAACGUGGGCCCCUAAUCGGGGUUGCGGACAGUGUCUGGUGGGUAGUUUGACUGGGGCGGUCUCCUCCUAAAGAGUAACGGAGGAGCACGAAGGUCAGCUAAUCCUGGUCGGACAUCAGGAGGUUAGUGCAAUGGCAUAAGCUGGCUUGACUGCGAGCGUGACGGCGCGAGCAGGUGCGAAAGCAGGUCAUAGUGAUCCGGUGGUUCUGAAUGGAAGGGCCAUCGCUCAACGGAUAAAAGGUACUCCGGGGAUAACAGGCUGAUACCGCCCAAGAGUUCAUAUCGACGGCGGUGUUUGGCACCUCGAUGUCGGCUCAUCACAUCCUGGGGCUGAAGUAGGUCCCAAGGGUAUGGCUGUUCGCCAUUUAAAGUGGUACGCGAGCUGGGUUUAGAACGUCGUGAGACAGUUCGGUCCCUAUCUGCCGUGGGCGCUGGAGAAUUGAGGGGGGCUGCUCCUAGUACGAGAGGACCGGAGUGGACGCAUCACUGGUGUUCGGGUUGUCAUGCCAAUGGCAUUGCCCGGUAGCUAAAUGCGGAAGAGAUAAGUGCUGAAAGCAUCUAAGCACGAAACUUGCCCCGAGAUGAGUUCUCCCUGACCCUUUAAGGGUCCUGAAGGAACGUUGAAGACGACGACGUUGAUAGGCCGGGUGUGUAAGCGCAGCGAUGCGUUGAGCUAACCGGUACUAAUGAACCGUGAGGCUUAACC
RNAcentral lists this ribosomal RNA (1307 nucleotides) under Klebsiella oxytoca NBRC 105695. RNAcentral describes it as "bacterial LSU rRNA". It matches the Rfam family "Bacterial large subunit ribosomal RNA", at positions 1640 to 2925 of the family's 2925-position model. The record is from RNAcentral. Lineage: Bacteria; Pseudomonadati; Pseudomonadota; Gammaproteobacteria; Enterobacterales; Enterobacteriaceae.